This 475-nucleotide ribosomal RNA is filed under the name uncultured bacterium. Its description in RNAcentral is "bacterial SSU rRNA". It matches the Rfam family "Bacterial small subunit ribosomal RNA", at positions 365 to 830 of the family's 1533-position model. The record is from RNAcentral.
UUCGCAAUGCCCGAAAGGGUGACGAAGCGACGCCGCGUGUGGGAAGAAGGCCUUCGGGUUGUAAACCACUGUUGGGAGUUAGGAAGUGUGGAGGUGUUAGUAGCGCUUUCACUUGACUAAAGCUCCAGAGGAAGCCACGGCUAACUCUGUGCCAGCAGCCGCGGUAAUACAGAGGCGGCAAGCGUUGUUCGGAAUUAUUGGGCGUAAAGAGCACGUAGGCGGCUCUGCAAGUCAGCUGUGAAAGCCUUCUGCUUAACGGAAGAACGGCAGUUGAAACUACAGGGCUUGAGUGCGGGAGGGGAGAGUGGAACUUCUGGUGGAGCGGUGAAAUGCGUAGAUAUCAGAAGGAACGCCGGCGGCGAAAGCGGCUCUCUGGUCCGUAACUGACGCUGAGUGUGCGAAAGCUAGGGGAGCAAACGGGAUUAGAUACCCCGGUAGUCCUAGCCGUAAACGAUGGGCACUAAGUAGAGGGGUU